RNAcentral lists this Y RNA (94 nucleotides) under Nannospalax galili (Upper Galilee mountains blind mole rat). RNAcentral's name for it is "Y RNA (ENSNGAG00000004353.1)". It matches the Rfam family "Y RNA". Rfam says of the family: Y RNAs are components of the Ro ribonucleoprotein particle (Ro RNP), in association with Ro60 and La proteins. The Y RNAs and Ro60 and La proteins are well conserved, but the function of the Ro RNP is not known. Lineage: Eukaryota; Metazoa; Chordata; Mammalia; Rodentia; Spalacidae. The record is from Rfam by way of RNAcentral.
GGUUGGUCUGAGUGCAGUGGUGCUUACAAGUAAUUGAUCACAACCAGUUACAGAGCUCUUUUCCACCCCCACUGCUUCACUUGACCAGCCUUAA